RNAcentral lists this small RNA (626 nucleotides) under Pan troglodytes (chimpanzee). Its description in RNAcentral is "retained intron". The record is from RNAcentral. Lineage: Eukaryota; Metazoa; Chordata; Mammalia; Primates; Hominidae.
GUUUGAAAUAAUUAGUUAAGACCUGAAAUGAAUUAAUUGAUUUGAUUUUUUUUUGACAGUGCACCCAGAGAAAAGUCUCAGAAAGCUAUCCAGGAUGAAAUCCGUUCAGUGAUCAGACAGAUCACAGCUACAGUGACAUUUCUGCCACUGUUGGAAGUUUCUUGUUCAUUUGAUCUGCUGAUUUAUACAGACAAAGAUUUGGUUGUACCUGAAAAAUGGGAAGAGUCGGGACCACAGUUUAUUACCAAUUCUGAGGAAGUCCGCCUUCGUUCAUUUACUACUACAAUCCACAAAGUAAAUAGCAUGGUGGCCUACAAAAUUCCUGUCAAUGACUGAGGAUGACAUGAGGAAAAUAAUGUAAUUGUAAUUUUGAAAUGUGGUUUUCCUGAAAUCAAGUCAUCUAUAGUUGAUAUGUUUUAUUUCAUUGGUUAAUUUUUACAUGGAGAAAACCAAAAUGAUACUUACUGAACUGUGUGUAAUUGUUCCUUUUAUUUUUUUGGUACCUAUUUGACUUACCAUGGAGUUAACAUCAUGAAUUUAUUGCACAUUGUUCAAAAGGAACCAGGAGGUUUUUUUGUCAACAUUGUGAUGUAUAUUCCUUUGAAGAUAGUAACUGUAGAUGGAAA